This 46-nucleotide non-coding RNA is filed under the name Trichobilharzia regenti. Lineage: Eukaryota; Metazoa; Platyhelminthes; Trematoda; Strigeidida; Schistosomatidae. The record is from RNAcentral.
GUACUGCUGAAGAAUCCCAAACUAGGACAAAACGGAUGUCCAGUAC